This 253-nucleotide ribosomal RNA is filed under the name uncultured bacterium. RNAcentral describes it as "partial 16S ribosomal RNA". It matches the Rfam family "Bacterial small subunit ribosomal RNA", at positions 524 to 776 of the family's 1533-position model. The record is from RNAcentral.
UACGUAGGGGGCAAGCGUUGUCCGGAAUCAUUGGGCGUAAAGCGCGCGUAGGCGGCCCUGUAAGUCCGCUGUAAAAGUCAAAGGCUCAACCUUUGAAAGCCGGUGGAUACUGCAGGGCUAGAGUCCGGAAGAGGCGAGUGGAAUUCCCGGUGUAGCGGUGAAAUGCGCAGAUAUCGGGAAGAACACCCGUGGCGAAGGCGGCUCUCUGGGACGGUACUGACGCUGAGACGCGAAAGCGUGGGGAGCGAACAGG